RNAcentral lists this small RNA (210 nucleotides) under Theobroma cacao (cacao). RNAcentral describes it as "sRNA Tc03v2_g009130". The record is from RNAcentral. Lineage: Eukaryota; Viridiplantae; Streptophyta; Magnoliopsida; Malvales; Malvaceae.
GUGAUUUUUCAAGGAAUCAAGUGUUUAAAGGUGGUGAGCUAUUUGAUACGGGUAAAAGACUACACUCGAGAACCGAGAAUAGGAGUAUAUCUACUCCUAGUACAGCUCAGAAUAGGUAGUAGACUGUCAAUUACAUCGAGAAGUAAAUUUCGGAGUUGCAUCCUAGAAAACAAGGUUAUAGACUUAAACCUUCUCAGUUAUUUGGGGGCC